GGGCUAUUACUUUUAUCUACCUCGCUUCCCGUCGCUCCUUAUCGGUUCUUUUUCUUUCUCUUCCAACCAAAAAAUCUUGUCUUCCCAACUUCUUCCACUGAAAGAGAGAAGAACCCUAAUUUUUUGGCUGCAAAAUGUCGGGGAAGGGAGCCAAGGGUCUGAUAAUGGGCAAAUCUGCCUCCAACAACAAGGACAAAGAUAAAAAGAAACCCGUCUCUCGCUCUUCCCGCGCUGGUCUCCAGUUUCCAGUGGGAAGGGUCCACCGUCAACUGAAGUCAAGGGUUGCUGCAAACGGACGGGUCGGGGCUACAGCAGCCGUAUACACAGCAGCAAUCUUGGAGUACCUGACUGCAGAAGUGUUGGAGCUGGCCGGGAAUGCGAGCAAGGAUCUGAAGGUGAAACGU
Molecule: unclassified non-coding RNA, 404 nt
Filed under: Hevea brasiliensis (rubber tree)
Lineage: Eukaryota; Viridiplantae; Streptophyta; Magnoliopsida; Malpighiales; Euphorbiaceae
Source: RNAcentral